UGUUAAAAGCACAACAGCCUUAAAAAACACAGAGUAGUUUGAGUGUGGAAGCAGGAUUCAUCACGUCAUCACUUAUUGACCUGAUUGUCGACCAGUCUGAAAUAAUCUUUCAUAAACUGCAACAUUACUCAGUGUUUUUCAUCUGUGUAGAAAGACAGACCUCUAUUCAUCUCUUGCUGAUGAGGAGUUGGAGUAUAAUAAGCCUGUUAUUGACAAAUAUGAAUAACUAUAAAGUGAUCUGUCAGUGAGCCAAGCUAAAGUUAAGCUCAUGUUUGUGUAUGUAUCUUUUUCUAAGCGCUAUGAUUUGUUAUGCAGGUUAUUAGACUGACACUAUUUCCUCAAAAGUGACCAUGACAGUAUCACUAACUGAUGAAUAUUUGAAAUUCUACUGGUAGAUAUUUUACAAUAUUGGUCGGUUGGUUAAUAUAGGUCUUUCUAAUGAAGUUGCCAGUUAGUUUGUGGUUAUUUUUGCCCACCUCUCAGUCUCAAGACUGCGGGAGUCUUUACGCAGAGUCGAUGCAGAAGGAGUGAACAUCAGACGUCUACGGCUGCAUGUAUUAAGACGACGGCAGUAUUCUGUUCCAGGUCCAAACUCCUUAUGGCACAUUGACGGUAACCAUAAGCUAAUAAGAUGGAGAUUUGUUGUCCAUGGUGGCACGGAUGGAUUCAGUCGACUAAUUGUCUACUUGACAGUGGCGGCAACAACAGAGCUAGAACAGUCUUGGAGAGCUUUAUUGCUGCUGUUGAGCAGUACGGACUGCCAUCAAGGGUUCGGUCUGAUAAAGGUGGGGAGAAUGCAGAUGUAGCUGAAUUCAUGAUGAAUACAUCACAUAAACAUUUUCAAUUUUAUUUUAAUCACAGAAUAGAGAGGAUGUGGAGAGAUGUCUACGAGCAUGCCCUAGACCUUCUCUAUCAGAUCGUCACUUCACUGGAACAUCAGGGAACACUUAAUCCAGACAAUGAAAUCCAUCUGUAUGCCUUGCACCGGGUCUUCCUUCCACACAUACAGAGCAACCUCGACUCUUUCAGAGAUGCAUGGAACAGUCAUGGUCUUAGAACUGAACGGAAUCAAUCACCACAGCAACUCUGGAUAAGAUACAGAGACCAAGGCCCCAUGGAGGAUCCUUCAGAGGUUUCUGAAGACUAUGGGAUCGACUGGAACGGGCCUCACACCAUGGAGGCACUACAUCAGUACCUGACAUUCAGCUGGGCCGUGAGCUAUCAGAUGAAGAGCUUGCUACUUUGCCAGUUUCAGGAGUUUCUUUAACAGAUGCAAUUGGAUCAUACUUGGAGACAGUCCAAAUUCUGUCAAGAACCAUAGGAGACUGAUAUACAACCCAAGCUUUUUAUUUAACAUGCUAAAACAAACAGACAUGCGCUGUAAAACAAUUUGCUUUCCUCACAAAAUUUUUAAGUUCAAGUUUUUCCCAUCAUGACAUUUGUCACAUUGAACUUUUUGGUUAACAUAAAAUUAUAAUUUUUGGUUUGUUGUAAAUGAAAAAAAAAAAGUAAGACAUGAAAGCUGGAUGCAGAACUGGUAACUGUCUCUCCCAUUUUAUAUCAAAAUGUAAAACUGCUGUUUAUAAACAUGUGAAACAUUAAACGUGUUUCAUUCCC
Molecule: long non-coding RNA, 1617 nt
Organism: Oreochromis niloticus (Nile tilapia)
Lineage: Eukaryota; Metazoa; Chordata; Actinopteri; Cichliformes; Cichlidae
Exons: 3
Source: RefSeq, a predicted model, not a curated record